CCGGCCGCGCGGCGGGUCUGCGGCGGCGACAGCGACUCAAGUCCGGGCUCCCUGACCGGUCACCUCCCGGCCACCCUGCCGAGCAGCCGCGGCUUGAGAGCUGCCAAGAAGUGAAUCUCUGACCUGACGACGUUUCUUACUUGGAGUAGGGGCCUUGGGCACACUCCACACUUAGCCUGGCAGAAGCGGCCACGGAUUGCCCGGAUUCCACACUUGGAUCACCCAGUCGGAAAUGCCUCGUACACCUCAAGACAUCUUACAAUUUCACACACACACAGAUGCUGACUUUGAUGUGUCUGUCAGCACAACCUUCAGCCCCAACCGACAGGAAUGCGUCAGAAACUUCGUUCACCACCGUUCUCACCAGGUAACAAAGGAGCAGGGCUUUCUCUGUGAAGUCGCUGGGAACUGAUGCUGCUGGCAUUUUCCUUGGAGCUU
Molecule: non-coding RNA, 438 nt
Organism: Leptonychotes weddellii (Weddell seal)
Lineage: Eukaryota; Metazoa; Chordata; Mammalia; Carnivora; Phocidae
Source: RefSeq, a predicted model, not a curated record